This 238-nucleotide long non-coding RNA is filed under the name Solanum tuberosum (potato). RNAcentral's name for it is "long non-coding RNA (STUB_LNC004586)". Lineage: Eukaryota; Viridiplantae; Streptophyta; Magnoliopsida; Solanales; Solanaceae. The record is from RNAcentral.
UCAGUUUAGAGAAAUUGGAAAUUCACACUAGGGCUUGGAGAAAAGAGAAAAGAGGAAAAAGGAGAAGAAAAGCUCAAGAUUCGCCAAGAUCGUGCGAUUUGGUUGUGGAUUUCGCCGUUUAAUUAAACUUACAAGGUAUGUGAGGCUUUCAUAACAUUGUGUUCAUUCACCCACGUUCCAAACAUGUUUAUUUCAGUGUGAAUUCGUAUUAAAAGAGUUUGAGAGUUGAUGUUCUUGA